This 256-nucleotide ribosomal RNA is filed under the name uncultured bacterium. Its description in RNAcentral is "partial 16S ribosomal RNA". It matches the Rfam family "Bacterial small subunit ribosomal RNA", at positions 524 to 776 of the family's 1533-position model. The record is from RNAcentral.
UACGUAGGGGCCUAGCGUUGUCCGGAUUUAUUGGGCGUAAAGAGCUCGUAGGCGGUUUGGUGAGUCGGGUGUGAAAUCUCCACGCUCAACGUGGAGGGGCCACCCGAUACUGCCAUGACUAGAGUCCGGUAGGGGAGUGUGGAAUUCCCGGUGUAGCGGUGAAAUGCGCAGAUAUCGGGAAGAACACCCGUGGCUAAGGCGGCUCUCUAGUACGGUACUGACGCUGAGACGCGAAAGCGUGGGGGAGCGAAACAGG